GACGAACGCUGGCGGCGUGCUUAACACAUGCAAGUCGAACGGAAAGGCCCUGCUUUUGUUGGGUGCUCGAGUGGCGAACGGGUGAGUAACACGUGAGUAACCUGCCCUUGACUUUGGGAUAACUUCAGGAAACUGGGGCUAAUACCAGAUAGGAGCUCCUGCUGCAUGGUGGGGGUUGGAAAGUUUCGGCGGUUGGGGAUGGACUCGCGGCUUAUCAGCUUGUUGGUGGGGUAGUGGCUUACCAAGGCUUUGACGGGUAGCCGGCCUGAGAGGGUGACCGGCCACAUUGGGACUGAGCUACGGCACAGAGUCCUACGGGAGGCAGCAGUGGGGAAGAUUGCACAAUGGGCGGAAGCCUGAUGCAGCAACGCCGCGUGCGGGAUGACGGCCUUCGGGUUGUAAACCGCUUUCGCCUGUGACGAAGCGUGAGUGACGGUAAUGGGUAAAGAAGCACCGGCUAACUACGUG
This 468-nucleotide ribosomal RNA is filed under the name uncultured bacterium. Its description in RNAcentral is "partial 16S ribosomal RNA". It matches the Rfam family "Bacterial small subunit ribosomal RNA", at positions 28 to 507 of the family's 1533-position model. The record is from RNAcentral.